RNAcentral lists this ribosomal RNA (429 nucleotides) under Bacteroidota bacterium. RNAcentral describes it as "Bacteroidetes bacterium partial 16S ribosomal RNA". It matches the Rfam family "Bacterial small subunit ribosomal RNA", at positions 355 to 776 of the family's 1533-position model. The record is from RNAcentral. Lineage: Bacteria; Pseudomonadati; Bacteroidota.
UAGGGAAUCUUCCGCAAUGGACGCAAGUCUGACGGAGCAACGCCGCGUGAGUGAAGAAGGAUUUCGGUUCGUAAAACUCUGUUGUUAGAGAAGAACAGCGCAUAGAGUAACUGUUAUGCGUGUGACGGUAUCUAACCAGAAAGCCACGGCUAACUACGUGCCAGCAGCCGCGGUAAUACGUAGGUGGCAAGCGUUGUCCGGAUUUAUUGGGCGUAAAGAGCUUGUAGGCGGUUCGUCGCGUCUGGUGUGAAAGCCCAUCGCUUAACGGUGGGUUUGCGCCGGGUACGGGCGGGCUAGAGUGCAGUAGGGGAGACUGGAAUUCUCGGUGUAACGGUGGAAUGUGUAGAUAUCGGGAAGAACACCAAUGGCGAAGGCAGGUCUCUGGGCUGUUACUGACGCUGAGAAGCGAAAGCGUGGGGAGCGAACAGG